RNAcentral lists this ribosomal RNA (253 nucleotides) under uncultured bacterium. RNAcentral describes it as "partial 16S ribosomal RNA". It matches the Rfam family "Bacterial small subunit ribosomal RNA", at positions 524 to 776 of the family's 1533-position model. The record is from RNAcentral.
UACGUAGGUGGCAAGCGUUGUCCGGAUUUACUGGGCGUAAAGAGCGCGCAGGCGGUUGGAUAAGUCGAAUGUGAAAGCCCCCGGCUCAACUGGGGAGGGUCAUUCGAUACUGUCCGACUCGAAGGCAGGAGAGGGAAGCGGAAUUCCCGGUGUAGUGGUGAAAUGCGUAGAUAUCGGGAGGAACACCAGUGGCGAAGGCGGCUUUCUGGCCUGUUCUUGACGCUGAGGCGCGAAAGCCAGGGGAGCAAACGGG